Non-coding RNA from Macaca mulatta (Rhesus monkey), 727 nucleotides. The record is from RefSeq and is a predicted model, not a curated record. NCBI's taxonomy places the organism in Eukaryota, Metazoa, Chordata, Mammalia, Primates, Cercopithecidae.
AAAUGGUAUACUCUUUGAUAGAUUCUUCAAUAGAUAUUAAUAUUUUAACUAUUGUUUUCCACAAUGGCACUUCAAAAAUAUGCUAUCCUUUUGUCCACUAAAUACCAUUUCCCAAAGCAAAAACAAACGACAAAUUCAUAACAAGGUGAAAAUGUCUAUAGCAAAUCUAGUCUUCCAUCCAAAGAGAAGUGGCAGCUUUUAUGAAACCAUAACCUUCUCCCUUUUCUUGAAGAAAGGAAAUUGCUCUAGUUCAGCAGGUGAAGAAAUGGAUACUCUCCCUUCUUAACUUACAGAGUUAACCAGCAAUAUUCAAAAAAGGGAGGCACUGACUGCUGACGAUGGUCAGUAUAAGCCUGUGUAGUCCCGUAGGCCUCUGGGAAUAAUUAGCUCAACAGUGGACUGUGAAACACACACUGCUUCCUUCCUGGUUGCUGUUUGUUCUGCUCUGAGCUCCAACCGCAGCCCAAUUGUUACCUAUGGAGGAGGACUGGGGUCAUGUUCUCAGGAAACUACCAUGGGAAUAUGCCAGUUGUGUAACUUUUAAAAUGAAAUAAUAAUGAUGUGCAGCUAUAAGUAAAGAUAUUCCGUGUCCAGAGUGAGCCAGUGAUGCCUAGCGAGUCUGAACAGAGAAGCGCCUGCCUAGCUUCGUUCAGAUCUCCCCGCUCCUCCCAGGCCCAGCCUCGCCUUGUCCACUGAUCUGUCUGCCUGAGCCCGAGCCCAAGCCAAG